This 465-nucleotide ribosomal RNA is filed under the name uncultured bacterium. RNAcentral's name for it is "partial 16S ribosomal RNA". It matches the Rfam family "Bacterial small subunit ribosomal RNA", at positions 28 to 507 of the family's 1533-position model. The record is from RNAcentral.
GACGAACGCUGGCGGCGUGCUUAACACAUGCAAGUCGUACGGUAAGGCCCUUUCGGGGGUCCACGAGUGGCGAACGGGUGAGUAACACGUGAGUAACCUGCCCACAACUUUGGGAUAACGCUAGGAAACUGGUGCUAAUACUGGAUAUGUGCUCCUGCUGCAUGGUGGGGGUUGGAAAGCUCCGGCGGUUGUGGAUGGACUCGCGGCCUAUCAGCUUGUUGGUGGGGUAGUGGCCUACCAAGGCGGCGACGGGUAGCCGGCCUGAGAGGGUGACCGGCCACAGUGGGACUGAGAUACGGCCCAGACUCCUACGGGAGGCAGCAGUGGGGAAUAUUGCACAAUGGGCGCAAGCCUGAUGCAGCAACGCCGCGUGCGGGAUGACGGCCGUCGGGUUGUAAACCGCUUUCAGCAGGGACGAAGCUUUUUGUGACGGUACCUGCAGAAGAAGCACCGGCUAACUACGUG